CCUACGGGAGGCAGCAGUAGGGAAUAUUGCUCAAUGGGGGAAACCCUGAAGCAGCAACGCCGCGUGGAGGAUGAAGGUUUUCGGAUUGUAAACUCCUUUUGUUAGAGAAGACAAUGACGGUAACUAACGAAUAAGCACCGGCUAACGCCGUGCCAGCAGCCGCGGGUAUACGGAGGGUGCAAGCGUUACUCGGAAUCACUGGGCGUAAAGAGCGCGUAGGCGGGAUAGCAAGUCAGAUGUGAAAUCCUAUGGCUUAACCAUAGAACUGCAUUUGAAACUGUUAUUCUAGAGUAUGGGAGAGGUAGGUGGAAUUCUUGGUGUAGAGGUGAAAUCCGUAGAGAUCAAGAGGAAUACUCAUGGCGAAGGCGGCCUGCUGGAACAUAACUGACGCUGAUGCGCGAAAGCGUGGGGAGCAAACAGGAUUAGAUACCCGAGUAGUC
RNAcentral lists this ribosomal RNA (440 nucleotides) under uncultured bacterium. RNAcentral describes it as "partial 16S ribosomal RNA". It matches the Rfam family "Bacterial small subunit ribosomal RNA", at positions 338 to 795 of the family's 1533-position model. The record is from RNAcentral.